GUGGGGAAUCUUGCGCAAUGGGCGAAAGCCUGACGCAGCCAUGCCGCGUGAAUGAUGAAGGUCUUAGGAUUGUAAAAUUCUUUCACCGGGGACGAUAAUGACGGUACCCGGAGAAGAAGCCCCGGCUAACUUCGUGCCAGCAGCCGCGGUAAUACGAAGGGGGCUAGCGUUGCUCGGAAUUACUGGGCGUAAAGGGCGCGUAGGCGGACAGUUUAGUCAGAGGUGAAAGCCCAGGGCUCAACCUUGGAAUUGCCUUUGAUACUGGUGAUCUUGAGUGUGAGAGAGGUAUGUGGAACUCCGAGUGUAGAGGUGAAAUUCGUAGAUAUUCGGAAGAACACCAGUGGCGAAGGCGACAUACUGGCUCAUUACUGACGCUGAGGCGCGAAAGCGUGGGGAGCAAACAGGAUUAGAAACCCGAGUAGUCC
RNAcentral lists this ribosomal RNA (425 nucleotides) under uncultured bacterium. Its description in RNAcentral is "partial 16S ribosomal RNA". It matches the Rfam family "Bacterial small subunit ribosomal RNA", at positions 354 to 796 of the family's 1533-position model. The record is from RNAcentral.